Arabidopsis lyrata subsp. lyrata is the source of this 85-nucleotide small nucleolar RNA. It matches the Rfam family "Small nucleolar RNA R16". Rfam says of the family: snoR16 is a member of the C/D class of snoRNA which contain the C (UGAUGA) and D (CUGA) box motifs. Most of the members of the box C/D family function in directing site-specific 2'-O-methylation of substrate RNAs. Lineage: Eukaryota; Viridiplantae; Streptophyta; Magnoliopsida; Brassicales; Brassicaceae. The record is from Rfam.
AUUGGCAAAUGAUGAGUAGAAUCUUAUCCUACACACAGAUGUAUCAGUGUUGACUACCAAUCUCUCCUUAUUAUCUGAUGCCAUA